Molecule: long non-coding RNA, 3031 nt
Filed under: Nicotiana benthamiana
Lineage: Eukaryota; Viridiplantae; Streptophyta; Magnoliopsida; Solanales; Solanaceae
Description: long non-coding RNA (NBEN_LNC014355)
Source: RNAcentral
CUACCUUCUACCUAUAUAAACAUAAUUAGAAAAACCUAAGGGAGAAGGAGAAUUUUUUCAUAUUGAAACCCCUGCAGAGGAGCUUCUUCUCUGCUUCACUUCCUCCCCACUUAUACAAGCAUAUACACUAAAUAACACACAAAAACAACGGAGAUCAAAGAAAAAAAAGAAAUCAUCUGCUGAAAUCUACAAAAAACAGUUAAAGUAGCAAAGACCAGAAGAAAUUUUCAUUGAAGAAAGGAAAGCAAAUUUGUGCUUGAAUUUCAUUUGAAGAUGAAGUGUUCAUCGUCAAUUUCUUGGCAUUCUGAGAGCUGUUUGGAGCUUAAACUAGCUGUCACUCACUUAAAUUGUUGCUGAAAUCCAUCUUUCAUUUUCCUGGUCUUUAUUUAGUUCAGAUCUAUUUUCCUUGUCCCUUUUGAGGUAACUUCGAUAAUUUCUCAAUGUAUUUGAGUUUAUGAUGAUGUAGUCUAUUUUAUUGAGGGAACUGAAAUACCUUCUUUGAAUUCCUUUGAUGAGACCUAAUUAGCUCUUUAAUUUUAGUUUUGUGAUGUAAAUCUGAAUGUUCAAGAAAUGGAAUUAAGCUGCAAUUAGUUUAUCGUUCUUAUGUCUAUUGGACCAGGGUGAGUGACCCGUGUGGGUUUUAGCAGUAUCUCUGUCCGUCACUGCUUCUUGAUUAUUUCCGCAGUUGUUUUGUUGACGGGAAUAGCUAAGGCCAAACAACUUUUCAAAUUUGGGAAUAGCCCAUGUGAGUCAGUUCAUAAAAUUUGUGCCAAAUCAAAUAAAAAUCAAUUUUGUUGUCCAUUAUCUCCAUGUGGAAUCCCAAAUAGGACUUAAUCAAUGAUAAGGAGUUUGUUACAUUGGAUCCUGACCGGGUAAAGGAUUACUUAGAUCGCAUACAGAAUUACAGCAAAGAAUGAAGUUAUGUGCUCUUACCUACAUAGACUGGAAAUGAAUAUUAACACAAAUUGGGAAUGAGCCAACUGGAGCAAUUAAUUUUUCGUGCUUUGAAUCACCUAGUACAUGUCUAGUUUCCUUUUGUCGCUUUAUUAAUUUAGCUUUUUCCUAAAGUUAUGUUAAGUUUCAGUUGUUGAAAAUUUAGUUGUUAACGUACAUAGGCAUUAGACAUUUGGUGCAUAAGUAUUGUUGCCUUGAACAUUCGUAGUUUAUUUUAGUCUAGUAAAGCCCUUUGGAAUUGAGGUGCGUCAUGCCAAAUAAAAUCAUAAAUUGCACAGCCCUCGCUAAAUUAAUAUUUUUAUCCUUAAAAAUCGAGGAGUGCCAUUUAGCAAGUUUCCAUGGUCCAUGCAUAGUUAACAACGCAUAGUUGCUUUUAGGCGCGUUAUUUAAUAAUGUACCUUCCUAAAAUCGGGUGCAUAUUUAUGUGACCCAAAUUCAUAUCUCAACGUUAGAUAAAAUGUGUUAUGGACUGCGGGUGCAUUUAUGUGAUGUGGUUCGAAACAUAUUUUAAAUGGCAUUGCAAUCUUCCUUUAAUUAAUUAAAUAAAAGUGGUUAAAAAAUUAAAAUUGCACCUAGGCUAAAAAUACUUUAAAAUCAGAUAAUUAUGCCAGUUAUAACAGUUGAGCGACCUUGCUAGAACAGAACUCGAAAGUGCCUAACACAUUCUCCCGGGUAAACAGAAUUUCUUACCCAGAUUUCUUAUUCGCAGACCUUAAUAUAAAGUCAACAUUUUUCUCGAUUCGAGAUUUAAACCGUUGACUUAAGAUACCAUUAAUUAUCCCUAGUGGUAACUUUGAAUUUUUAAAUAAAUAAUCUCGUUUCAAUUGUCACUUUAAGUUGGAAAAACAUCCCUUAUACACCCUUCCGGCGGUAUAGGAAAAAAAGGAGGUGUGAUAGCUCUGGCGACUCAACUGAGGAUCGAACCUAGGAUCUCUGGAUCAGGGUUCGAGAAUUCGAGCUUAGAAUAAUUGUUAUAUUUGGAUUUAUUUAUUAUCUGGUUUUAUUAUAUGUUUGAGCCUCAUGUGCUAAGUGUUGCUUUUUACCGCCUUGAUAUUAUCUGAAUUGUAUAUAAAUUGUUACGAAACCUUUCUCUUCUCAUCUUCGUGAUUUUCUCACUGGUCAAGUCUCCAUAUUCUAUUAGUGUCAUACCUUGAAAUAAGAAAUAGACUCGGACAAGUUACUAAGUAGGAUGGUCUCUUGGUUCCCAGUAUGUAGCUCCCUCCUUGCUCGAGUUGUCCGCUCGGGUACACAAGUCUAGGACAAAUACUCAGGUUUUGAACCUAAAAUAACUCAGCCUCAUGUCGGAUCCCUAAUAGGAACGUUUACUCGUAUCAUUUACACUUUACUUAGGGGACUCAACACAUGGUUGGGUCCGUCUAGGACAGGUAUAUCCCAAAAAAAGACAAUCUUGAUGCAUCUUAUGUACUACAUAUCGUAUUUAUUCAAGGGUAAAAGGGUCAUUUGGCAGACUAAUGAUAGCUGAGGGUAAAUGAAAAAAUAAAAAAAAACAAAUGAAAAGAAAUAAAGAAAAAGAAAGAGAGGAUGAAGUGUGGAAAUAAAGCAAGUAGGGCUUAGUUAUGUUUUGUUACAUUUUUAUUAAGAAAAAGACAAAAAAUGCAUGAAAAAAUCAAAAAGAUUUUGCACUUUUAUUUAUCACGUUUCAAAAAUCAAAAAAACGGAAAAGAAAAUUCAAAAAGAGUUUAUAUUUUUCAUCAUUUUUUUCAAAAAAAUGAACAAAAAAAUAUUUUCUCUAAAAUUAGUUAUUUUUUAAUUCUUGCCCGUCUACAUUUUGCCUUAACUACGCAAACCUGAUUCUCGUCAUUCGGGUUGUGAGAUAUAGGCAACCCACAUAGGGUCCGGUCUUCCUAGUAAAUCUUAGGGUCUUAGCCAAAAUUUUCACUUCUAGCCACCUUUUGGCUAAAUAAGUCAUUUUACAAAAAUAAUCACAGCCAUGUCUUGCAUGUGUUUAAUAGGGAAUAUUAUUGUCUCACAUAGUGUUGGUUUAAGUUUUCUCAUACAGGUGUGGAUCUACUCACCGGAGUUUGAGCAUGAUAGAUACCCCAGGACCACUGCAUUC